GAUGAAGAACGCAGCGAAAUGCGAUAAGUAAUGUGAAUUGCAGAAUUCAGUGAAUCAUCGAAUCUUUGAACGCACCUUGCGCCCUUUGGACAUUCCGAAGGGCAUGCCUGUUUGAGUAUCAUGAACACCUCAACUCUCACGGCUUGUCCGUGAUGAGCUGGGACUUUGGGGGUCUUGCCGGCCUGUGGUCGGCUCCUCUCAAAUGGAUCAGCUUGCCAGUGUUUGGUGGCAUCACAGGUGUGAUAACUAUCUGCGCUUGUGGUUUUCCAUCAGAUAACCUUCAGUGAUAUGGAGGUUCGCUGGAGCUCACAAAUGUCUCUCCUUAGUGAGGACAGCUCUUUGAACGUUUGAUCUCAAAUCAGGUAGGACUACCCGCUGAACUUAAGCAUAUCAAUAAGCGGAGGA
RNAcentral lists this unclassified non-coding RNA (405 nucleotides) under soil metagenome. Its description in RNAcentral is "partial contains 5.8S ribosomal RNA, internal transcribed spacer 2, and large subunit ribosomal RNA". The stretch from base 1 to 121 matches the Rfam family "5.8S ribosomal RNA", at positions 35 to 154 of the family's 154-position model. The record is from RNAcentral.